AGCUAUCCACUCUUCUAUGACCUUGAGUUUAAUGACAACUGCUUCUCUAACUCUUCCAACAGACAAACACCUUUUCAAGACAUUGGCAACUCCAAAGAGCCAGCAAAAUGUGGUGUAGUCUGUUGUCAUGAGGCUGGGUGGCAACCAUGAGUUACAGUCUCCAUGAGGGUAAACAACUCACUCCUCAGCACACUGUGUUGCCAAGUUACAACAUUGGAUAUUUUCAGUGCAUUACAACUUACGAUAUUUUCAACUUGAGGUGAAUUUGUUGGGAGGUAACUCCAACAUAAGUGGAGGGAUAUUCACAUUCUUAAGGCAGGUGAGAGAUGUUAAGAUUGUGGAUCUUUAAAGCCCUCAUUUCAGUCUGCUCUUUUGGGAACCAGAGAAUAAUAAAGAGCCAAUUGACAA
Molecule: long non-coding RNA, 408 nt
Organism: Peromyscus eremicus (cactus mouse)
Lineage: Eukaryota; Metazoa; Chordata; Mammalia; Rodentia; Cricetidae
Exons: 2
Source: RefSeq, a predicted model, not a curated record